This is a long non-coding RNA of Wasmannia auropunctata (little fire ant), 453 nucleotides long. RefSeq lists it as uncharacterized. The record is from RefSeq and is a predicted model, not a curated record. NCBI's taxonomy places the organism in Eukaryota, Metazoa, Arthropoda, Insecta, Hymenoptera, Formicidae. The transcript has 4 exons.
ACCCGACCCCGUAGACCCAGCCACCCUAGAGAUUAAGACCCGUAGCAUAGAACAGACACUACUCCCACUAGUGAAACAGGCACGUCUUCGACAGAAGAAACGAAAUUGAGUUUCAUACAUAGAUAUAAUGGGCUCAUCGAUGAUACAAAAUGGUGCCUCCGAUCGUAACUUGUUGCGGAUUAUGUUUCCCUUCGGCACAUAAAACACAUACCGCAUUUGACAUGCUUGUAGUUUUUUUUUAUGAAUCUCCGUAAAAUAUCUACUGAAUUUGAUAUGGAGAUGGAAGAUCCUGUAAAAAUGAAACCCAUUCGAUGAACGAAGCAAAGUCUUCCAGAUCAAUGCAAGAUGAAAAGGACCGGCUUUAUUAGGGAUUUAAGAUGAGCAAGUUUUAGUAAAUUACAGGAUUUACAGAUAUCAACUCUUACUGAAUAAAAUUUCUACAUAUGUACCAUA